AGAACUAAAAAUAUAUUUUCAAAUCAAUAAAUAUAGCAUGCAGCCCCAUAAAAACGUAUGAAUAACUAGAAAAUACAUAUGUAUUAUUCAAAAAUACAUAUGCAUUAGUCAUAAAUACAUAUACAAUUUGGUAAUACAUAUGUAUUAUUCAUAAAUGUAUAUAUGCAUAACUGAAAAUAUACAUAUGCAUUAAUCAUAAAUACAUAUGCACAACUCGAAAAUACAUAUUCUUUCUUUUCGUUUGACUUCCUCUUUUUCACAUAUUUUUGCACUUUUUGGUGUUUUU
RNAcentral lists this long non-coding RNA (286 nucleotides) under Capsicum annuum. Its description in RNAcentral is "long non-coding RNA (CANN_LNC009900)". Lineage: Eukaryota; Viridiplantae; Streptophyta; Magnoliopsida; Solanales; Solanaceae. The record is from RNAcentral.